GCCGGGCGCAGUGGCUUGCGCCUGUAAUCCCGGCACUUUGGGAGGCUGAGGCAGGUGGAUCACCUGAGGUCAGGAGUUUGAGACCAUCCUGGCCAACACGGCGAAACCCUGUCUCUA
Molecule: non-coding RNA, 117 nt
Filed under: Pan troglodytes (chimpanzee)
Lineage: Eukaryota; Metazoa; Chordata; Mammalia; Primates; Hominidae
Source: Rfam by way of RNAcentral